RNAcentral lists this ribosomal RNA (426 nucleotides) under uncultured bacterium. RNAcentral describes it as "bacterial SSU rRNA". It matches the Rfam family "Bacterial small subunit ribosomal RNA", at positions 354 to 796 of the family's 1533-position model. The record is from RNAcentral.
GUUAGGAAUCUUCCACAAUGGGGGCAACCCUGAUGGAGCAACACCGCGUGCUGGAUGAAGGCCUUCGGGUCGUAAACAGCUUUUGUAUACGAAGAAUAUGACGGUAAUAUACGAAUAAGGGUCGGCUAACUACGUGCCAGCAGCCGCGGUCAUACGUAGGACCCAAGCGUUAUCCGGAGUGACUGGGCGUAAAGAGUUGCGUAGGCGGCUUAUUAAGCGAGUAGUGAAAUCUGGUGGCUCAACCAUCAACACAUUGCUCGAACUGAUAGGCUUGAGAAUGGUAGAGGUAGUUGGAAUUUCUUGUGUAGGAGUGAAAUCCGUAGAUAUAAGAAGGAACACCAAUGGCGUAGGCAGACUACUGGACCAUUUCUGACGCUGAGGCACGAAAGCGUGGGGAGCGAACCGGAUUAGAAACCCCGGUAGUCC